GUCACUGCUAUCGGGGUUCGAUUAAGCCAUGCGAGUUGAGAGGGUUAAGACCCUCAGCGGACUGCUCAGUAACACGUGGAUAACCUGCCCUAUGGUGGAGCAUAACCCCGGGAAACUGGGGAUAAUACUCCAUAGAUUAGAGAUACUGGAAUGUUCUUUAGUCGAAAGUUGAGGCGCCAUAGGAUGGAUCUGCGGUCGAUUAGGUUGUUGUUGGGGUAACGGCCCAACAAGCCUGUAAUCGAUACGGGUUGUGGGAGCAAGAGCCCGGAGAUGGAAUCUGAGACACGAUUCCAGGCCCUACGGGGCGCAGCAGGCGCGAAAACUUUACAAUGCAGGAAACUGUGUUAAGGGAACCCCGAGUGCCCGUAUACGCGGGCUGUCCAGGUGUCUAAAAAGCAUCUGAAGAAAGGGCCGGGCAAGACCGGUGCCAGCCGCCGCGGUAAUACCGGCGGCUCGAGUGGUGGCCACUAUUAUUGGGCUUAAAGCGUCCGUAGCUGGACUCUUAAGUCUCUUGGGAAAUCCGCCGGCUUAACCGACGGCGUCUAAGAGAUACUGGGAGUYUAGGGACCGGGAGAGGUGAGAGGAACUYCGGGGGUAGGAGUGAAAUCCUGUAAUCCCCGGGGGACCACCGAUGGGGAAGGSAUUUUACCAGAACGGGUYCGACAGUGAGGGACGAAAGCUGGGGGAGCGRACCGGAUUAGAUACCCGGGUAGUCCCAGCCGUAAACUAUGCGCGUUAGGUGUAMUGGUGACCACGAGUNAAUGGGGUGCCGRAGGGAAACCGUGAAACGKGCCGCCUGGGAAGUACGGUUGCAAGGCUGAAAAUUAAAGGRAUUGGCGGGGGAGCACCACAACGGGUGGAGCCUGCGGUUUAAUUGGAAUUAAAGCCGGAAAUMUUACCGGAUAAGACAGCGGAAUGAUAACCGGGCUGGAGAMUUUGUUUGACCAGCUGAGAGGAGGUGCAUGGCCGUUGUCAGUUUGUACUGUGAAGCAUCCUGUUAUAGUCAGG
RNAcentral lists this ribosomal RNA (1008 nucleotides) under uncultured euryarchaeote. RNAcentral's name for it is "bacterial SSU rRNA". It matches the Rfam family "Archaeal small subunit ribosomal RNA", at positions 23 to 1038 of the family's 1478-position model. Lineage: Archaea; Methanobacteriati; Methanobacteriota. The record is from RNAcentral.